RNAcentral lists this ribosomal RNA (308 nucleotides) under uncultured bacterium. Its description in RNAcentral is "partial 16S ribosomal RNA". It matches the Rfam family "Bacterial small subunit ribosomal RNA", at positions 505 to 807 of the family's 1533-position model. The record is from RNAcentral.
GAAACAGCAGCCGCCGCGGUAAUACGGAGGGUGCAAGCGUUAAUCGGAAUUACUGGGCGUAAAGCGCACGCAGGCGGUCUGACAAGUCAGAUGUGAAAUCCCCGGGCUUAACCUGGGAACUGCAUUUGAAACUGUCAGGCUGGAGUCUUGUAGAGGGGGGUAGAAUUCCAGGUGUAGCGGUGAAAUGCGUAGAGAUCUGGAGGAAUACCGGUGGCGAAGGCGGCCCCCUGGACAAAGACUGACGCUCAGGUGCGAAAGCGUGGGGAGCAAACAGGAUUAGAUACCCGAGUAGUCCCUGUCUCUUAUAC